Molecule: long non-coding RNA, 359 nt
Organism: Cydia pomonella (codling moth)
Lineage: Eukaryota; Metazoa; Arthropoda; Insecta; Lepidoptera; Tortricidae
Exons: 2
Source: RefSeq, a predicted model, not a curated record
AUUACAAAGAUGGGUUUACAAUAUUACCUAUGCUUCUUUAGAAAAGCCUCUCCUAACUACGUUAAUAACAAUGACUGCUAGUGUAAUCUUCCUAACAGUAAUGUUAAUACUAGCAGUCAUUUUUGCUGUCGUAAUAUGUCUUACAAGCAUUAUUUUGUUAAUAGAAGGGUUUUUGCUGGUGGUGAUAAUAAUUGCAGUUAGUUUACUUACCAUGCUUGGUUCAUACAUUUAUGUCGUUGGAAUUACCUUAACUCUUUAUUUUAAAGCUGAAAGCAAAGGAGACAGAACCAUGGCAGAAACAAAUUAACUUAAUAUCUUAUAUGUGUUUGAUUUGGUAAUUAAAUGCUCUUUGGAAUUUA